GACGAACGCUGGCGGCGUGCUUAACACAUGCAAGUCGAACGGAAAGGCCCUGCUUUUGUGGGGUGCUCGAGUGGCGAACGGGUGAGUAACACGUGAGUAACCUGCCCUGGACUUUGGGAUAACUUCAGGAAACUGGGGCUAAUACCGGAUAGGAGCUCCUGCUGCAUGGUGGGGGUUGGAAAGUUUCGGCGGUUGGGGAUGGACUCCCGGCUUAUCAGCUUGUUGGUUGGGUAGUGGCUUACCAAGGCUUUGACGGGUAGCCGGCCUGAGAGGGUGACCGGCCACAUUGGGCCUGAGAGACGGCCCAGACUCCUACGGGGGGCAGCAGGGGGGAAUAUUGCACAAUGGGCGGAAGCCUGAUGCAGCAACGCCGCGUGCGGGAUGACGGCCUUCGGGUUGUAAACCGCUUUCGCCUGUGACGAAGCGUGAGUGACGGUAAUGGGUAAAGAAGCACCGGCUAACUACGUG
RNAcentral lists this ribosomal RNA (468 nucleotides) under uncultured bacterium. Its description in RNAcentral is "partial 16S ribosomal RNA". It matches the Rfam family "Bacterial small subunit ribosomal RNA", at positions 28 to 507 of the family's 1533-position model. The record is from RNAcentral.